This 500-nucleotide ribosomal RNA is filed under the name uncultured Glomeromycotina. Its description in RNAcentral is "partial small subunit ribosomal RNA". It matches the Rfam family "Eukaryotic small subunit ribosomal RNA", at positions 591 to 1092 of the family's 1831-position model. Lineage: Eukaryota; Fungi; Glomeromycota. The record is from RNAcentral.
CCAAUAGCGUAUAUUAAAGUUGUUGCAGUUAAAAAGCUCGUAGUUGAAUUUCGGGAUCAGUACGCUGGUCGUGCCUUUGGUAUGCACUGGUGUCACUGGUUUCUCCCUUCUGAAGAUCCGUGAUGUCAUUAAUUUGGUGUCGCGGGGAAUCAGGACUGUUACUUUGAAAAAAUUAGAGUGUUUAAAGCAGGCUCACGCUUGAAUACAUUAGCAUGGAAUAAUGAAAUAGGACGUUUGAUCCUAUUUUGUUGGUUUCUAGGAUCGACGUAAUGAUUAAUAGGGAUAGUUGGGGGCAUUAGUAUUCAAUUGUCAGAGGUGAAAUUCUUGUAUUUAUUGAAGACUAACUACUGCGAAAGCAUUUGCCAAGGAUGUUUUCAUUAAUCAAGAACGAAAGUUAGGGGAUCGAAGACGAUCAGAUACCGUCGUAGUCUUAACCAUAAACUGUGCCGACUAGGGAUCGGAUGAUGUUAAUUUUAUAAUGACUCAUUCGGCGCCUUACG